GAUGAACGCUGGCGGCGUGCCUAAUACAUGCAAGUCGAGCGAACAGAUGAGGAUCUUGCUCCUCUGACGUUAGCGGCGGACGUGUGUGUAACACGUGUAUAACCUACCUCUAAUUCUGGUAUAACUUCGGGAAACCGUAGCUAAUACCGGAUAAUAUAUUGAACCGCAUUGUUCUAUAGUGAAAUACGGUUUUGCUGUCUCUUAUAGAUGGAUCCGCGCCGCAUUAGCUAGUUGGUAAGGUAACGGCUUACCAAGGCAACGAUGCGUAGCCGACGUGAGAGGGUGAUCGGAGACACUGGAAGGGAGACACGGACAAGAGUACUACGGGAGGGAGCAGAAGGGAAUGGUACGCAAUGGGCGAAAGGAUGACGGAGCAACGGCGAGUGAGUGAAGAAGGUCGUAGGAUCGUAAAAAUAUGUAAGUAGGGAAGAACAAAAGUGUAAGAAAAUAAGAACGUAUUGACGGUAACGAAAAAGAAAGCAACGGCUAACUACGUG
RNAcentral lists this ribosomal RNA (497 nucleotides) under uncultured bacterium. RNAcentral's name for it is "partial 16S ribosomal RNA". It matches the Rfam family "Bacterial small subunit ribosomal RNA", at positions 28 to 507 of the family's 1533-position model. The record is from RNAcentral.